RNAcentral lists this ribosomal RNA (378 nucleotides) under uncultured bacterium. RNAcentral's name for it is "bacterial SSU rRNA". It matches the Rfam family "Bacterial small subunit ribosomal RNA", at positions 94 to 515 of the family's 1533-position model. The record is from RNAcentral.
UUUGGUGGACGGGGAGAACGCGUGGGAACGUCUCCUUUUCUACGGAAUAUCCUUUGGUGCGAAGGGUCAUACCGUAUCCGCCCUUCCUGGGAAAGAUUUAUCGCAGAAGGAUCAGCCCGGGUAUUAUUAUAUAGUUGGUGGGGUAAUGGCCUACCCAGACUACGAUCUAUAGUGGGUGAGAGGAUGAUCCACCACGCUGAUCCUGACACACGGGCCAGACACGAACAGGAGGCAUCAUGGGGGAAUCUUACACAACGGGCGCCAGCCUGAUCUACCCAGGGGGCGUGAUUGACAAAGGCCGUAAGGCCUUAUACCUCUUUCCCCUGGGAUGAGAAUGAAACUCCAGGUUAACAACCCUUCCAAUUUCCGGCCAGCAAC